ACUGUUAGAUGUCGCUGUAGAUUUAGCAGUACAUUACUGUAAAAAUCCACAGUACUAUACUGUAUGUAUACAUUACAGUACAGUACUGCAGUUCAUAAUGCAUUCUGGGUAAAUUUGUUUGAGCGGGAAAAUUUUACAGUAUAUUUUGGUCUUGAUGUAACCUUGCUGUAGCCAUUGCUGUAAUGUGCCAGGUGUACUUGCAAUAAUCAGAGAAAGUGCGCCAGAGUCAAAUCACACAGAGGGAGAGAGAGCACAACUCUUGGCUGCAGCUGAAGGAGGACGAUUGAUUUCUGUCAGUUCGUCUUACCAUUGCUUGUAAGCUGGAUUGGGUAAGAUGGAUCAUCUUUAAAGGCACCAGGAGUUAAGGCAGAUGUGGAGGCACAACGUGUGAUACCAGACACACACCAAGCACAUUAUGUUCGGACAUUCAAUCAUGACAGGAUCCAGGUGGAUGCUGUCCAUUGAUGAAAGAGUUUGUUCAGCGGUUUCUGGAUAGAAUUAAUUCCAAAGAUGGGAAAAAGUGCACAUCCAGACAAGGAGCAAGCAAAAAGACAAGGAACUUGGUGCAGAGAAAAGCUGUGGCCAUUAACCCCCAUGUGAACAGCUUCAUGCAGUCCCUGAUUGAGUUCGAAUGGACGACUUCAAAGUAAAGGCCACUGUGGUCUGUCUGCCACAGUUUAAUGCAUUUACUUUUAGUGUUCAAUGAAAUUUAAGUAGAAUAUUUAAAACUAUGGGCCAGUGUUCUUUUUACCACAGUGAAAUGUUACCUUUUAGUCGAUGAUGGACUUUAAACUGAAAACUUCAAACUAUUGACCAGUGUUCUAUUUGCCAGAGUUAAAUAUGUUACAGCAGGGGUCUC
Long non-coding RNA from Paramisgurnus dabryanus, 859 nucleotides. RefSeq lists it as uncharacterized. The record is from RefSeq and is a predicted model, not a curated record. Lineage: Eukaryota; Metazoa; Chordata; Actinopteri; Cypriniformes; Cobitidae.